AGCAUAUCAAUAAGCGGAGGAAAAGAAACUAACAAGGAUUCCCCUAGUAACUGCGAGUGAAGCGGGAAAAGCUCAAAUUUAAAAUCUGGCGGUCUUCGGCCGUCCGAGUUGUAGUCUGGAGAAGUGCUUUCCGCGCUGGACCGUGUACAAGUCUCUUGGAACAGAGCGUCAUAGAGGGUGAGAAUCCCGUCUUUGACACGGACUACCAGUGCUUUGUGAUGCGCUCUCAAAGAGUCGAGUUGUUUGGGAAUGCAGCUCAAAAUGGGUGGUAAAUUCCAUCUAAAGCUAAAUAUUGGCGAGAGACCGAUAGCGAACAAGUACCGUGAGGGAAAGAUGAAAAGCACUUUGGAAAGAGAGUUAAACAGUACGUGAAAUUGCUGAAAGGGAAACGAUUGAAGUCAGUCGCGUUAGCCAGGACUCAGCCUUGUUUUUACUUGGUGCAUUUUCUGGUUGACGGGCCAGCAUCGAUUUUGACCGCUGGAAAAAGAUUGGGGGAAUGUGGCACCUUCGGGUGUGUUAUAGCCCUCAGUCACAUACGGCGAUUGGGAUCGAGGACCGCAGCACGCCUUUAUGGCCGGGGUUCGCCCACGUUCGUGCUUAGGAUGCUGGCGUAAUGGCUUUAAACGACCCGUCUUGAAACACGGACCAAGGAGUCUAACAUGCCUGCGAGUGUUUGGGUGGAAAACCCGAGCGCGUAAUGAAAGUGAAAGUUGAGAUCCCUGUCGCGGGGAGCAUCGACGCCCGGACUUGAACUUCGGUGAUAGCUCUGCGGUAGAGCAUGUAUGUUGGGACCCGAAAGAUGGUGAACUAUGCCUGAAUAGGGUGAAGCCAGAGGAAACUCUGGUGGAGGCUCGUAGCGAUUCUGACGUGCAAAUCGAUCGUCAAAUUUGGGUAUAGGGGCGAAAGACUAAUCGAACCAUCUAGUAGCUGGUUCCU
This 936-nucleotide ribosomal RNA is filed under the name Fomitopsis serialis. Its description in RNAcentral is "LSU rRNA". It matches the Rfam family "Eukaryotic large subunit ribosomal RNA", at positions 37 to 959 of the family's 3401-position model. The record is from RNAcentral. Lineage: Eukaryota; Fungi; Basidiomycota; Agaricomycetes; Polyporales; Fomitopsidaceae.